This 253-nucleotide ribosomal RNA is filed under the name uncultured bacterium. RNAcentral describes it as "partial 16S ribosomal RNA". It matches the Rfam family "Bacterial small subunit ribosomal RNA", at positions 524 to 776 of the family's 1533-position model. The record is from RNAcentral.
UACGUAGGUGGCAAGCGUUGUCCGGAAUUAUUGGGCGUAAAGCGCGCGCAGGCGGCUUCUUAAGUCUGAUGUGAAAUCUCGGGGCUCAACCCCGAGCGGCCAUUGGAAACUGGGAGCUUGAGUACAGAAGAGGAGAGUGGAACUCCACGUGUAGCGGUGAAAUGCGUAGAUAUGUGGAGGAACACCAGUGGCGAAGGCGACUCUCUGGUCUGUAACUGACGCUGAGGCGCGAAAGGCGUGGGGAGCAAACAGG